RNAcentral lists this non-coding RNA (27 nucleotides) under Homo sapiens (human). Lineage: Eukaryota; Metazoa; Chordata; Mammalia; Primates; Hominidae. The record is from RNAcentral.
GGCCCUGGGACCUAGGAGAGAAGAAUA